GUUAGGAAUAUUGGACAAUGGGCGCAAGCCUGAUCCAGCCAUGCCGCGUGAACGAUGAAGGCCUUCGGGUUGUAAAGUUCUUUAGCCGAUGAUUAUAAUGACUGUAGUCGGAAAAUAAGCCCCGGCUAACUUCGUGCCAGCAGCCGCGGUAAUAAGAAGGGGGCGAGCGUUAUUCGGAAUCACUGGGCGUAAAGCGUGCGUAGGCGGUUUUGUAAGUUAGGUGUGAAAGCCGAGGGCUCAACCUUGGAAUUGCUCUUAAAACUGCAAGGCUCGAAUCUCGGAGAGGAUAGCGGAAUUUCCAGUGUAGCAGUGAAAUGCGUAGAUAUUGGAAGGAACACCAGUGGCGUAAGCGGCUAUCUGGACGAGUAUUGACGCUGAGGCACGAAAGCGUGGGGAUCAAACAGUAUUAAAUACCCCAGUAGUCC
Molecule: ribosomal RNA, 425 nt
Filed under: uncultured bacterium
Lineage: Bacteria
Description: partial 16S ribosomal RNA
Rfam family: Bacterial small subunit ribosomal RNA
Source: RNAcentral